Cyanistes caeruleus (blue tit) is the source of this 2955-nucleotide non-coding RNA. Lineage: Eukaryota; Metazoa; Chordata; Aves; Passeriformes; Paridae. The record is from RefSeq and is a predicted model, not a curated record.
CCUCGGGAGAGCCGUCCCACAGGUUGACAGAGGGCUGUUCACAGAAGAGGGCAGGAGUAACCAAGGAGAACCAAAUCCUAGCCGGUGGGAGAGGUGGGGGAUUGCAAAAGUCCUUGGAGCCCGGCCAGGACGUGGGUUAGAGGUUAGAAGUGCCAUGGGUGCUCUUGUUCUGACAGCAGAGUGACGCCUGAGGUGUCAUGCCCUCCUGCAGGGCUCACAGCUUCCCGGAAUCUGAGCAGCAGCUGAGCAGCUGGGUACACAAACAUCUCCCAUCCAGCCCACGAGUUCCCAGGCCCGUCCCCCUUUGCCAUCUCGCCACAUUCCAACUACACAGCAGGGACACACUUCUCCAGAAAUACAAAAGCAUGAGUCCAUUGGGGAAAAAGAAUAUACAGGACUGUUUUACAGUGUAACCGUCUAUCAAUGCCAUGUGGGAUGCUGCUGAAAGAAUUUUGGAACAACUGUGAGACUUUUUGGAUGCUCAAACACUGAAUGAGUCAAAAAAUCAUCUGUGUCCUACAGAGAAACAUUUUAGAAAACAAAGCAAUUGGCUUCUAGCAACAUGAUGUAACCUUGGUUUUUCCUCCCCCUAUUGUAAGUGCAUCUCUGGGUGUUUGCUUUUAAAGCUGUAUCCAUUAAUAAUGUGCCUCUAUAUUUAUUUAGAGAUAUGUCAAACAAGGAGUGCUUAUCCGUAGCUCCAGGCAACCCAACAAUUUUAAUACAUAAACAGCUAUAUAAAUGAGUCUCAUAAUUGUCCAACAAAAGCUUCAGCAACAAAGAACCCCAUAAGCACACCGUCUCUGCUCAGGAUGCUCAAAAUUCGGCAUCCACUUCAGCAGCCAAGGAGAACAAAUAAGCUUUCCAAGGGAACCGGCUCGGGUUAUUACAGAUCAAACAGAGGAACAAGUUGUUUGCCUUUCCUUAACUUAAAAAAAAAAACAACCCACAAAUGGAAAAACAUGGGCCAGUUUUUCAAGCAAGCUCGGCACGUUGCCUGCCUAAAUUACACUUACAUGCAAGUGCAUGCAAAUGUGUUGUUUCCCUGGUCAUGUGCCUGAACUGCAUCCACAUUUUCCUCAAAUGCCUUCUGGAACGUGACAGGACAUGCACGAGCAACCUCCCCAUCCCUUCAGAAACCAGAGCAUGGGCAUGCUGGUGGGAGCAGAGGAAACACCUGCAUUCCUCCACAGCACAAAUGCAGCCAAAAUAAUGAUGAGUCUGAAAAAAGCCCGACCGAAGGCAAAGGUCAGCUUGCUGGGACAUUGUGGAGCAGAGGGGGCUCGGCUUGGCAGGAGAGAGCCUUAUGCCCUUGUGCUUUUAAAUGUAUUUUCCUGCAGGAGAUGGGGAAAAAAGCCAAAUAAAAAUAAGCAAACAUUUUCAGCUUCUGCUGCAGUUCUGUAGAGGGGUGGCUAAACACUGCUGGCGAUAGCUCAGCCCCCAUCAGAGCCUGCUGCUGUAUCCCUUCCAGAGAGAUGGAGUCUGCCUGCCACUGAGGCAAUGGAGGUGCCCAGCAGGGCACAACAUGCCACCUCUGUGUCUCAGGCAAGCAGCUGUGCCCCUGUGCAGUGCUUUGUGCCAAGCCUGCUCCAGUGAAAACCCAAACAAUGCACUUGCUGAAACCUUGCAGGACCUACUGUGCACAUCCCCCGAACGUGAAAUACCAAUGGUGAGAUGUGAGGUCCUGCUUUUUCCCCUCGGGGAGUUGGUGCUGAUCUCUCAGUUGGACAUCACCCACCCCACACAGGGGACUGAGGGAAGGCACUAAAGGCACCAAAGGCGGUUCAGCUUCCAUACCUGCUUUUCUCUUCCUUCAUGGGAGUUACACACAAAAGAAUCAUAUGAGAGGGCCACAAGAGACAAGGGUAAGAAAAGCUUCAGUAGUUCAGCUUAGACAUAUGGGGUUUUUAAUCCUCCUCCCUCUGUCUGUCAGAUGCUCAAAGGAAAAAAUAAAGUGCUUGGACAGGCCAGUUUGGUGUGAGUCCCUGUCCCUCCCUUCCUGCUCUCCCUCACUGCAGCACAAGAGGAAAAACACUUGAAAGGCUAGGGGUGGCCUCAAGGAUGUCUGCUUUGCCUCCACUCAUGCCACUCUUUUCCUUUUGUAUCUUUUCUAACAUCCAAAGAGGAAAAAGGCAGGACCAUGUCCUGCACCCAGGUGCCUUUCUCACACACACACAGACAAGCACAUUCCCAUUGAAAACAAGACGGCAGUGCAUUGAACUUGUCCCUGAAUGUAACCCUUCUGGCUUGAACAGCCCUGCUGGCUCCUGCCCUGGGCAAGGUUUCAGUUUCCCUGUGGCUUGAUGACGCGAUUUGGGCAGGAUUUAUGAGGCUUACAAAAAAACACAAUUAAAUCUAAGGGGCAAUGAAGGGGAUUUUUUUCCUUCUUUUUUUUUUCCUCCCUUUUCAUUGCUUGCUUCUAGGACUAAGGCGAAAGUUGAAUUGGCAGAAGCUGGCUGUGUUGGCUGGAGCCUGAAUUUCUAGCCAAAGAUGUUUUCUCCAAGUCUAGUUAAAUUAAUUUCCUUGAUUUUUUCAAACAUUUUCUUUGCUCUAAGUGACUGAGAAGCCAUUGAUAUUUCAGUUGAGGAGCAAUCAAAAUACAGGACCUGAAGGGCCAAAGCCAUCUCUGCUGUAAAUGUGGUGUCUGGCACUGCAGCUGCCACCGCUGAGGGAAACAGCUGAGGUGGACAUCCUGGAAGAUAAAGCAGGUAGGGAGAAGAAGCCAGGUUGGGACUGAAAUAUCCCCUCUGCUUCCAAGAGAUAAAGAGCCAUCCCUUUGGGAAGAGACCCAGUCAGGUCCCUGUCUGACCCUGAAGGCUCGAAGACUGGAUGUACCCAAAUCCAACAGAGAGGAGCAUGACCUCCACUGGAAACCACACAUGCUGGAAAAGAAAAAGCCCGUGUCCCAGCUUUGUGCUUUGAGUCCUGUUCAAUAAAUAAUAACAGAAUAUGCUGGAA